UACGUAGGGACCAAGCGUUGUUCGGAUUUACUGGGCGUAAAGGGCGCGUAGGCGGCCAUUCAAGUCAGUUGUGAAAUCUCCGAGCUUAACUCGGAACGGUCAACUGAUACUGUUUUGCUAGAGUACAGAAAGGGCAAUCGGAAUUCUUGGUGUAGCGGUGAAAUGCGUAGAUAUCAAGAGGAACACCUGAGGCGAAGGCGGGUCUCUGGGCAACAACUGACGCUGAGGAGCGAAAGCGUGGGGAGCGAACAGG
This 253-nucleotide ribosomal RNA is filed under the name uncultured bacterium. Its description in RNAcentral is "partial 16S ribosomal RNA". It matches the Rfam family "Bacterial small subunit ribosomal RNA", at positions 524 to 776 of the family's 1533-position model. The record is from RNAcentral.